GAUUCCUUACAGGAAGUGGCCUGUCUGACCAUUUCUUGCCCUCCUUGAUCAUCUCUAACAAAUACAGGGGAUCUCUGGCAUGACGUGACACUUCCUACGGCUCCCAUGGGCUCUCAGAAGGCGGGAAAAAGCUGAACGAUGUAAUUCCAUCCCCAGGCUGAAACACAUUAGCGCGUUUGGCAAGUGCUCUAUCAGAGGGCCAUUAGACUGAGGCUCGUGCAUGAGGGGAUAGCAUGCUUUUACUUUCACUCUCUUUGUAAUAAAAAACGAUUUCCCAGUCAGAAUAUUAUCGCUUUUUUACGAGAAAAAUGGCAUAAAAAUAGAUUUUAAACAGCGGUUGACAUGCUUCGAAGUACGGUAAUGGAAUAUUUAGAACUUUUUUGUCACGAAAUGCGCCAUGCUCGUCACCCUUAUUUACCCUUUCGGAUAGUGUCUUGAACGCACGAACAAAACUCCGCUAUUUGGAUAUAACAAUGGAUUAUUUGGGACCAAACCAACAUUUGUUAUUGAAGUAGAAGUCCUGGGAGUGCAUUCUGAUGAAGAACAGCAAAGGACCGAGGAUUCCCCAGGCUGAGUGAUCCAGACCAUGAAAUGGCUGAGCCAGCCAUGAUACUGUUAUAUCGAGAAAACGAGGGAAUAACUACACUGUUUGGAUUCAACCAUAUUCCCAGUGACCUUGCCAUGGUUAAAUGCGGCGGUUCGCACUUUCAGUUUUGUGCGAAUGCUGCCAUCUAUCCACAGUUUCUUACUUGGGUAGGUUUUAAUAGUCACAGUGGGAACAACAUCCGCUAUACACUUCCUGAGGAACUCAGUCACCGUGUCCGUGUAUACGUCGAUGUUAUUCUCAGAGGCUACCCGGAACAUAUCCCAGUCUGCGUGAUCAAAACAUUCUUGAAGCAUGGAUUCCGAUUGGUCAGACCAGUGUUGAAUAGACUUCAGCACGGGUACUUCCUGUUUGAGUUUCUGCCUAUAAGAAGGGAUGAGCAAAAUGGAGUCAUGAUCUGAUUUGCCGAAGGGAGGGCCGGGAGGGCCUUGUAGGCAUCCCGGAAGUUGGAGUAGCAGUGGUCAAGUGUUAAAGCAGCAUGAGUACUACAGUCAAUGUGUUGAUAUAACUUCGGCAGCGUUUUCCUCAAAUUUGCUUUGUUAAAAUCCACAGCUACAAUAAAUGUGGCCUCUGGAUAUAGUUGAUUUCCAGUUUGCACAAAGUCCAGUGUAGUUCCUUGAGGGCCGUCGUGGUAUCGGCUUGAGGGGGAAUAUACACGGCUGUGACACGUAAUAAGGUCGGCAUUUGAUUGUGAGGUAUUCUAGUUGGGUGAACAAAAGGACAUUCUGUACGUUAUCACAAUCACACCAUGAGUAGUUAAGUUCUUCCAGGAGAGUUCUUUAUUCCUGUCUGCGCGAUGUACUGAGAACCCAGCUGGCUGUAUGGACGGGGACAGUAUAUCCGGAGAGAGCCAUGAUUUUCAAAUCAAAACCCAACCUUCAUUUACCCGUUGUGCUGCACGGAUGUUCCAAACUCUGUUUUAGACGAGAUUGACUUUAUGACCAAAUUUUUCCUAUAUACUCUUUGUAGUCAAUUUUGACACUAGAGUAAGUGUUUCUGACUCAUAUCGAUGCCACAUAGGCCAUUUCCAAAGGGAUACAUUGCUUUUUAAAGGCAGUCGCUCUUUAACCCUUUUUGGAAAGGAAGGGGGGUGAUGUGUUAAAUAAAGGUGACCUAGUUAUGUCUGAAAAUAUGAAAUGGAAAAGAUAUUCAAGGGUGCCAGAAUAUCCAUGGAUGCUUCAGGCCAAUCUAGUUUUUAAAAUGGACUUUUAAAUAAUAGAGACAUUUCUAUCAGUUAUAAUCUUUCCACAUUAAACAGCUCUCAGGAUGUGUUUCAUGUAAAAAGUACAGUCACUAUCAAAAGCACAUAGGAAAAGUGAAGCUUUGAGAGCUUUGAGCUUUCAUGCUAAAUGAGGAUAGCUCUUUGAAAUGUAAGACAAAUUAGAGAAGAUAUCUGAAUGUUUGAAUAGGCAUUGUGAUAAAAAAGAGAUGAGCCACUGACUUAACUUAACUCCACAAUGAGCUGCCUUAUAAGGUUAUGCUGUUAGAGGCCACAGAUUCCCCCUCUACCAGUUUUACUGGGGCAAGGUCAAGCAGGCUGUGACUCUCUGUACAUUAUCAUAUGCACCUGAGACUUUUUUUAUAUAGAGUCAAGUCCAUAAAUAUUGGCAACCUUGAUAAAGAUGAGCAAAAAAUACCUUACAGAAUGAAUUAUACAAAUUCUGAGUAAUAAAAAAGAAAAAAAUUAUAAUUAUUUGCACCCCUGUUUUCAAUACUCUAGCACCAUCUCCUUGCGAGGAUAACGACACUGAGCCUGUAAUCUGACCAUAGCACCCCUCCUAGAGUUUGAUAAAUAGCAUUGACAUUUGGAUUGGAACCCGUGCUAUGGUCAGAUGACAUUAAAAUAGAGUCCUUUGGCCACGCAUACCAUGAGUGGGUUUGGCAUUGAAAAACAGAAAUAUAUGCAAAAAAGUAACUAAUACCUGUGGUAAAAUAUUGUGGUGGAUCUUUGAUGUUAUGGGGCUAUUUAGCAUUUGGUUUGGCAAGUCAGUGAAGAACAAAUUCUUAUUUACAAUGACGGCCUACCAAAAGGCAAAAGGCCUCCUGCAGGGACAAGGGCUGGGAUUAAAAAUAAAAAUAUAGGACAAAACACACAUCAUGACAAGAGAGACACCACAACACUACAUAGAGAGAGACCUAAGACAACAACAUAGCAUGGCAGCAACACAUGAAAACACAGCAUGGUAGCGACUCAACAUGGCAGCAGCACAACAUGGUAGCAGCACAAAACAUGGUACAAACAUUACUGAGCACAGACAACAGCACAAAGGGCAAGAAGGUAGAGACAACAAUACAUCACACAAAGCAGCCACAACUGUCAGUAAGUGUCCAUGAUUGAGUCUUUGAAUGAAGAGAUGGAGAUAAAACUUCCACUGGUCUUGGGGCCCGUGUUAAGGUCAAGGGCAUCAUAAACUUUACCAAGUACCAGGACAUUUUAGCCAAAAACCUGGUUGCCUCUGCCUGGAGGCUGACACUUGGCCUCAAGUGGAUCUUCCAGCAAGACAAUAACCCCAAGCACAAAUCAAAAUCCACAAAGAAAUGGUUAAUUGACCUCAAAAUGAAAAUGAUGCAAUGGCCAUCUCAGUCUCUGGACUUGAACCCCAUUGAAAACCUGUGGUUUGAAUGAAAGAGGGCAGUCCAUGAGAGUAGAAGAAGGAUAUCAAGGAUCUGUAAAGAUUCUGUAUGGAGGAAUGGUCUAAGAUCCCUCCCAACGUGUUCAACAAUCUCAUAAAACACUAUAGAAAAAGGCUCCGUGUCAUUAUCUGAGCAAUUGUAUUAGUUUAAAAUAAUGUAAUUUCCCUUUUUUAAUUUUUUUUUACUCAGUAUUUUAAUAAUUUAUUUCAUACAGUAUUUUUUACUCAUCUUUAUCAAGGGUGCCAAUAAUUAUGGACCUGACUAUAUAUAUUUCCCCCAUCGCAAAUCAUCCUGUAAAAUACUUUUUUUAUGUAUACAUCUCUACAUACAUAAUUUAUAAUGUAGCUUAGUGUUCAUAGUAAAGCUUAUAGUUCUUAGCUUGCAGUGUACAUAGUGUGCAUACCGCAUGUUAAUUUCGGUAAACUCUGCAUCUACAUAUGUUGUCUGUAUAUCCUGUUUAUUGUGUGUCUGUAUAUUCUGUUUAUCGUGUGUCUGUAUAUUCUGUUUAUGUGGCAGCACCAUUUCACCAAGUCAAAUAUCCUGUACAUGCAAAUGUAUUUGGUGAAUAAAGGGGAUUCUGAUGCUGUUUGAUUGGGGUCAGAGAGGCAUCGCAGUGUUUUAUUGUUUCUGUUCAUGGAUACUCUGAUGCAUAGGUUAUUGUAAUGUACUGUUGACAUGAGAACUCAGCUGUAAAUCUAAUCUACAAUGUGAUUUGUUCUCUGUGACUGCUAUUGAGGACAUUUCAUAUGUGCUCUGAAUGCUCAUAUCCAGGGCUCAUAUCCCUGGCAGAAAUAAUUCAACAAGGCUGAAUUUGAAAUAACGUAUUUGACUUAAUCUCUAAAGGUGUCUGAUUAAGCAGCGCAAAAACAAAUUUCCUCCGAGGAGAUUAGUGAACACAGAGGAGGAAGUGUCAAUCUGCCAUGCCUUCAACUCUGUUGUCUUGGAAACGAAGGGGAUCAGCAUCUCUCUGCUGUCCCAAGGUGUUACAGUCAUUUCUGCUGGGUCAUGAGAGGAAUGGGAGGUACCAUAACAGACUCGUAUUUACAUGAAGGUAUAUCUGCUUUCCUUCCGUGAUUGGUUGCUAUUGUAAUGCCUGGGUUAUAACCUGCUAAUUUGGUAGAGGAAAUGGAUUUGUGCACAUGGCCUUCAAAUCACAAACACAGGCACAAACGCACUCACAUACACAGGCACGCACACAGAUGUGCACACACACAUCCUUAGCACACAUCCUUGUUGUCCUCUUACAUUUUUUAUAAUACCAUAACACCUUAGUUAAUUAAAAUGG
Molecule: long non-coding RNA, 4523 nt
Filed under: Salmo salar (Atlantic salmon)
Lineage: Eukaryota; Metazoa; Chordata; Actinopteri; Salmoniformes; Salmonidae
Description: lncRNA (ENSSSAG00000106733.1)
Source: RNAcentral